GUUCGAGGUAUAAACGUUACUUCUGGAUCAGGAAUUAUCCAAGGCUUCAGGUAUUUAUCUCCGAUAGACCUAGACAUUGCAAGAACACCGAAAACACGAUGGCCAUUCCACUGUAUCACCUUCCCUCCAGCUGCUUCAAUCCUUUUAUAUUCAUCUUCUCGGUUUGGUUUGUGAUCAACUGACAAUGCCAUGGGUUCCUUCCCACGACACAGAACAGCCCUUGAAUCACCACAAUUUGCCACUAUUAUAUGAGAUGAACAAACAACGGCAACAACAGCUGUGGAGCCUACAGUUUCUGGAGCAACAGGCUCGUCACCAGCUCCCCCUCCAAUCUCAGCAUCAACUUUAAGAAAACAAUUGGUAAAGGCUCUAUUCCAGAGUUCUUGGCAACUUUGUCUAAUACUUUCAUCACUGAGAUUCAUCAUAAAAGUUUCCAACUCCUCAGCCAAUACAGCAUGAAUCCGG
Molecule: unclassified non-coding RNA, 465 nt
Filed under: Hevea brasiliensis (rubber tree)
Lineage: Eukaryota; Viridiplantae; Streptophyta; Magnoliopsida; Malpighiales; Euphorbiaceae
Source: RNAcentral